CUACGGGUCGCUCCAGUGGGGAAUAUUGGACAAUGGGGGAAACCCUGAUCCAGCAAUGCCGCGUGUGCGAAGAAGGCCUGCGGGUUGUAAAGCACUUUCGGUUGGGAGGACUGCUUCUAGCACUAAUAUUGUUGGAAGUUGACGUUACCUUCAGAAGAAGCACCGGGUAACUCCGUGCCAGCAGCCGCGGUAAUAGCGGAGGGUGCAAGCGUUAAUCGGAACUACUGGGCGUAAAGCGCGCGUAGGCGGCUAGAUCAGUCGGGUGUGAAAGCCCCGGGCUUAACCUGGGAACUGCAUCCGAUACUGUCUAGCUUGAGUACAGGAGAGGAGAGUGGAAUUCCACAUGUAGCGGUGAAAUGCGUAGAUAUGUGGAGGAACACCAAUGGCGAAGGCAGCUCUCUGGCCUGAUACUGACGCUGAGGUGCGAAAGCGUGGGGAGCAAACAGGAUUAGAUACCCGCGUAGUC
Molecule: ribosomal RNA, 466 nt
Filed under: uncultured bacterium
Lineage: Bacteria
Description: partial 16S ribosomal RNA
Rfam family: Bacterial small subunit ribosomal RNA
Source: RNAcentral